AGGAUGAACGCUGGCGGUCUGCUUAACACAUGCAAGUCGAACGGGCGUAGCAAUACGUUAGUGGCGGACGGGUGAGUAACGCGUGAGAAUCUACCUUCAGGACGGAGACAACAGUUGGAAACGACUGCUAACCCCCGAUGUACUGAAAAGGCAAAUAUUUAUAGCCUGAAGAAGAGCUCGCGUCCGAUUAGCUAGUUGGAGAGGUAAAAGCUCACCAAGGCGACGAUCGGUAGCUGGUCUGAGAGGACGAUCAGCCACACUGGGACUGAGACACGGCCCAGACUCCUACGGGAGGCAGCAGUGGGGAAUUUUCCGCAAUGGGCGAAAGCCUGACGGAGCAAGACCGCGUGGGGAAGAAGGCUCUUGGGUUGUAAACCCCUUUUCUCUGGGAAGAAAGUUGUGAAAGCAGCCUGACGGUACCAGAGGAAUCAGCAUCGGCUAACUCCGUGCCAGCAGCCGC
This 460-nucleotide ribosomal RNA is filed under the name uncultured bacterium. RNAcentral describes it as "SSU rRNA". It matches the Rfam family "Bacterial small subunit ribosomal RNA", at positions 26 to 518 of the family's 1533-position model. The record is from RNAcentral.